AUGAGAUCGUUAAGAUAUGCUGGAGCCUGACCAUUAAUUGCUUUGUAAGUCAGGAGAAGGAUUUUGAAUUCUAUUCUGUAUUUUACCGGGAGCCAGUGCAGAGCAGCUAAUACAGGAGUAAUAUGAUCCCGUUUCCUUGUUCUUGUCAAUACACGUGCCGCUGCAUUUUGGAUCAACUGAAGAGUCUUAAGCGACAUGUAUGAAGGACUCUGAGGCGUCUGACUGACUGUUGUCUGAGAGAUUCUUCUGACUCAGAAGUCAGCUCCUCCAUCUUUAACUUAUUAAGACUGGAUGCAACAUUUGAGUGUUUCUCCCUUUAGAGCCGGAUGAGACUUUGCCAUCUUUUAUAUGAUGUAAUCGUUUUCGAGACUUGUGACAGAUGAAUGCAUUAGCCUCUUAGCCUCUUAGCUAGCAGGAACGUUUUUUAAAGUUUGGCUUUAGACGAGGGCUGACGAUUCGAUCGUGGGGAGCGACUCUGAUGCCGACUACAGCUGUUACUUGGAUGAAAACAACAAAGACAAUUAAUUUCAGCGAGCUAUCACAUGUUAUUAAACUGCCACUUAGUUUUAUUGAAAAUAUGUCUGGAAACAAGCACAUCGGUCAACAUAUUAAAUACAUUUUUGUUUUGUUUAUUGAUAAAAAAAGUUAAACUGGGUCGUCGAAUAAACAAAAACAAUACAUUUUAUUUGAGUUAUUUUGUUUUAAUUCAACACUAUGAUCUGCUUCAGUUGUCUGGGAUCUUUUAAAUUAGUUUUUAAUUUAUAAUACCAGAAAUAAGAACAAGUAAUGACAAUUGCCCGUAAUUGAAAUGACACGACCUAUUGGCACUAUACGUCGGUGCCACCAUGUACACUAACUCUCGAUUGUUCUGCAGGCCUGCGAUGAGUGAGCGGGUGGAGACAGUGGAGAUCGUCCAUCCUGCUGAAACGUCUCUGCAGGAGGUCAGGGACAGCGAGACUGAAGCUCAGAGGCCUGCGAUGAGUGAGCGGGUGGAGACAGUGGAGAUCGUCCAUCCUGCUGAAACGUCUCUGCAGGAGGUCAGGGACAGCGAGACUGAAGCUCAGAGCUCUCAGAGACCAGACUGUCCAGGACCCAGCAUGCCCGCGGGGGGGAGCCUUCUCAGUCCUGAUGAGUCCCCAGACCCCGGGGUGUCUAUCAAGAGUACUGCGUCUAACGAUCACGUCACUAGUUCCUCUCUUGAAGAACCUGUGGCACCAACUGGAUCAAGCUGUGACAAGUCACCAGAUGGCAUCAAUGCACAAAAAAAUACCUCUUCUUAUUACCAGAGGCGGAGGAAGUACAUUCUAUCUAAGUAAAAGUCGUAAUACCAAAGUGUAGAAAUACUCUGCUUUAGCUAAAGACUCAUAUAUGAGACUUAUAUGUCCCCUUUGUUCUACACACGUACAGACUGCUUGCACUCUGUAUGACUAUUGGACCUUCUUUGCAAAGAAUAAAUAUUCUAAAAACAAGUUUAUUCCUCAACAAUCUUCAUUUCAGUAUUAUAAACUUCACUGGUCAUUUGUAUAAGGACUUAAUUCAAACUUUCUACAUAUAUACAACUGGCUAUUGAGGUGACUUGGUGUAAAUAAGGUCAAUUAAUAAAUAUAACAAAAUGAUAUUAACUAUAAUAAUAAUAAUAAUUAUAUUUAAUGUUAAUGCACCUGCUUCAUUGUAGUGCCUAUUUUGAAGUCCCUAUUAAUUGUUUUAUUAAUAUUAAAGUUUCACCUUUAAUUCAUAAUUUCAUGUCUUUGUGUGAUUUCAGUGAACUGACCAUUAAUUAACUAAAAUAACUGCAGUUACAGGUCUGGUGUUGUAUUUAUGUUGUUAUAUCUACAGCAGAGUUUUAGCAGUGCUACAGUAUCAGUCAGAGGCCAGCGGUCUUCUGGCAGGUGAACAUUGUUUUUAGUUGUAAGACUCAUUUAGGCCUCGAGGGUGUACCACUACCCAUCGAACUAUAAAGGGAAGAAU
Long non-coding RNA from Cottoperca gobio, 1968 nucleotides. NCBI's taxonomy places the organism in Eukaryota, Metazoa, Chordata, Actinopteri, Perciformes, Bovichtidae. The record is from Ensembl.